Molecule: ribosomal RNA, 497 nt
Filed under: uncultured bacterium
Lineage: Bacteria
Description: partial 16S ribosomal RNA
Rfam family: Bacterial small subunit ribosomal RNA
Source: RNAcentral
GACGAACGCUGGCGGCGUGCCUAAUACAUGCAAGUUGAGCGAUGAAGAUUGGUGCUUGCACCAAUUUGAAGAGCAGCGAACGGGUGAGUAACGCGUGGGGAAUCUGCCUUUGAGCGGGGGACAACAUUUGGAAACGAAUGCUAAUACCGCAUAACAACUUUAAACAUAAGUUUUAAGUUUGAAAGAUGCAAUUGCAUCACUCAAAGAUGAUCCCGCGUUGUAUUAGCUAGUUGGUGAGGUAAAGGCUCACCAAGGCGAUGAUACAUAGCCGACCUGAGAGGGGGAUCGGCCACAGUGGGACUGAGACACGGCCCAAACUCCUACGGGAGGCAGCAGUAGGGAAUCUUCGGCAAUGGACGAAAGUCUGACCGAGCAACGCCGCGUGAGUGAAGAAGGUUUUCGGAUCGUAAAACUCUGUUGGUAGAGAAGAACGUUGGUGAGAGUGGAAAGCUCAUCAAGUGACGGUAACUACCCAGAAAGGGACGGCUAACUACGUG